Molecule: long non-coding RNA, 654 nt
Organism: Acyrthosiphon pisum (pea aphid)
Lineage: Eukaryota; Metazoa; Arthropoda; Insecta; Hemiptera; Aphididae
Exons: 3
Source: RefSeq, a predicted model, not a curated record
GAUACUGUUCCUUCGUCAACUGUCACUCUUAUAACGUAGCCUUAAUACGUUACAACAGUUUCUUUUCAGCUUUUGGAGCAAUACCCUGUCGGCAGAUUUCGAAAGAUAAACACGUGGCGUUAGUUUCUUUUUAGCUUUUGGAGUAAUACCCGCUCGGGCAGACUUACACACGAGCUGAAACUUAGAAGGAUAUCAACAUACCGUACACGUCGUGCAGGCAAUUAUUUCAUUGUUGUACGCCGCAAAACUCGAAUUAUAAUCAUAAAAUUCCUAAACACCGUCAAUCAAAAAUCAUGAAAUUUUAUUCGUUAUUGGUCAUGUCAGUUAUUGCGGGAUUGGCGACAUCAGAUUGUGGAAAAUAUGAAUACUACCAAAGCGAUAUUUGUAUGGAGCACUGUAAUUUUCCGAUUUCGGCAAACGAUCGUUAUGUUUUAGGUAUAUGUGUAAUAUCGUCUAAAUAUAAAGUAAAGUAUGGAUCGUCUGGUUUUGUAUGGCAAAAUUGUUGGAAAUGUACAUCAGAUGUUUUACAUAAUGAUAAAUUUCGAUCAGGAGGUCAAUAUAGAAGCUCCUAAAAUUGUUUUAUUUUUUUGUUAAUAUUCUAUUACAUUCAAUUUAUGUAAAAAGCUAACAAUUAAAAAAGUCACAGGGUCUUAA